CCCACUAGUUGGGUAACUUUGGGCAGCUGACGACAUCUCUGGGCCAUAAUUUUCCUAAAAAAGAGGCUUGACCCAGAUGAUUUAAGGUCUCUCGACAGCAUUAACGUGACCGUUACUUGAUACUAAGAGUUCCUGCUUUAGCCAUUAGGGAAAAGCUGUUGAAAUCUAUGAGGAUGAGUGUUUAAGGAACAAGAGCAGGUUACACAUGGGAAGACAGGACAUGGAACCAUUAUGCAGAAACAAGGCACCAGACCAAAGAGGCCCCUCUGCUCUUGGCACCGCAGGCCCAAGGUGUCAUCCUGGGAAGAAAGAGGGCUUUAAAAUUGUAAAGAGAGAGGCAAAGCAAGAAAGAGAAUUAAGAUGGAACUCCACUCCACCAUCCAUGGGCUUCCCAGCUCUGCUCAGAACACUCGCCUAAACUCCAUGUAAUAAUCAUGGUUGUGAUGUCCUGUCCAUCUCCUCCAACAGCCUGAAGGGGGCUACACUCCCAUUUGCUACAGCUGAAGACACUGGCCCUUAGCUUGGGGAGUAUGCAUGCAACAAAGAAGCAGUGUUUGGCACCACUAAGCAAUCAUUAAGUUAUCACAUGCUUUUUUUCUAGUAAGAUAAUAAACGUUCACUGUUCAGCCUGUACUGUUGUACUAUCCUCUUCCUCUGACUCCUGCAAAUACGAGGUUUUCAGCCAAAAUCAGGAUUCUAGCUUCCCUGGAAAAUAACCUGAUCCACAGGGAUGGACUACGUGAUCCUGACUAGGAAACAGAAACCCCAGAAUU
Molecule: long non-coding RNA, 773 nt
Filed under: Suricata suricatta (meerkat)
Lineage: Eukaryota; Metazoa; Chordata; Mammalia; Carnivora; Herpestidae
Description: lncRNA (ENSSSUG00005008636.1)
Source: RNAcentral